Molecule: long non-coding RNA, 2317 nt
Organism: Prosopis cineraria
Lineage: Eukaryota; Viridiplantae; Streptophyta; Magnoliopsida; Fabales; Fabaceae
Exons: 4
Source: RefSeq, a predicted model, not a curated record
UUUUUUUAAAUUUAUUCUACUUUUCCCUAAAUUACUUAAAAUCUUAGAUUAAUUAGGAAUUUAUAUUUUUAAAAUAGUUUGAAGAUGAUAACAUAAACAUUAGUUUUAUUCGCCUUUAGGUAGUGACAUGAAUUAUAGUUAGAUGAAUGCUAAACCAACAAGUGUUGAGUAUGAUAAUGGGGUGAGAGUUUUUGAAAUUUGUUAAGAAAAAUAUUGUUAACAAUAGUAGGAGGUUCUAUUGUCCUUGCGUAAAUUGCUUGAAUGAAAAGAGACUAAGUGUUGAGAGAACAUUUGAUUUGCGAUGGCAUUUGCAAGAAUUAUAUAGUAUGGAUUUGGCAUGAUGAAUGAUUGGAAAAUUAUAGUGGUACAUUUCAAUAUGUGAAAGUUGAUCACAAUCUUGAUGAUGAAGUAGAUAUGGAUGAAUAUUGACUAGAGGACAUGAUUUGUAAUGUUGGUAAAGAGGCUUUUGAACAAGCACAUGUAUAAAAUAACUUAUGCACUAAUGCAAAUAAGCCUUUGUACCUAAGGUGUACUAAUUUUAGUCUAUUGUCUGUGGUGUUAAAAUUGAUUUCCUUGAAGGCAAGAGCUGGGUGAAGUGACUAGAGUUUUACAUAGUUGUUAGAGUUACUUCAAAUAAUGUUUCCAAAAGAAAAUGUACUACCAAAUCGUAACUAUGAUGCUAAGAAGAUCUUGUGCCCAAUAAGUAUGAAUUUCAAAAAGGUACACGCAUGUCUUAAAGAUUGUGUGCUGUACAAAAAAGAUCAAGAAGGUGAGGAGAAGUGUUCAAGAUGCGAGGCACCACAAUACAAAGAGAAGGGGAAUCCUGCAAAGGUGUUGUGGUAUAUUUCGAUUAUACCAAGGUUCAAACGUUUGUUUGUGAAUACUAAUGAUGCAAAGAACUUGAGAUGGCAUGCAAAUAAGAAGAUAUCUGAUGGAAAAUUUCAACAUCCAGAUGAUUCUUCUAAGUGGAAAAAAAUUGAUCGAUUAUUUUCUGAAUUUGGCAAUGAGCCAAGGAACUGAGACUUGGACUUUCUACUAAUGGAAUGAAUCCUUAUGGUAGCUUGAGUAGUAUACGUAGCAUAUGGCCUGUUCUUUUAGUGAUUUAUAACUUGUGACCUCGAUUAUGCAUGAAACAAAUGUACAAGAUGCUAUCCAUGUUGAUUUCAGGAUCAAAACAACUUGAAAAUGACAGUGAUAUUUGUCUAAGACCUUUGAUUGAAGACUUGAAAGAAUUGUGAGAGGUAGGUAUGGAUGUGUUUGACGCAAAUUGGAAGAAGAAUUUUAAGUUACAUGCUAUGAUCUUUUGCACUAUAAAUGACUUUCCUGCUUAUGGGAAUUUGUUUGAGUAUAGUGUCAAGGAUCAUAAAGUAUGUUCACUUUGUGAAAAAAGCACAUGCUACCAUCAACUUCAACAUGGAAAGAAGACAAUCUACUUUGGACAUUGAAGAUUUCUUAAACGAGAUCAUCCUUAUCAUAAACAUUUCAUACAUUUUAUUACAUAAUUCUUUCUUAUAUUAUUUUUUAAUUAACUAUAUCUUAUCUUUUCAACUUUCCUUACUAAAUGAUCCCCUGCUGAAAUUUCCACAACCCUCGUUGCAAACGUAGCCACCACAGUUAACUCCUCUCCAAUAAAUAAUUUUAUUAGCUUACGAUAAAUCAUUCCAAGUAACAAUUUUUGCAAAGGGAAAGGAUAUUGUAGGUAUGGAGAAUCUGAUAAUAAUUGAACGAGAAGAGUUGAAUCGGUUCCUCUCGAAAAGUCAGCUUACCACAGGGUCAACUGAGAUAUUUAUGUUGUACCUCCAUCGUUUGUGCAUUACAUUGGGCAAAGGUGAUAAUUUUGAAUUUCUUUGCCCUCAUCAUGUGAUGAAGAAAGGGAACACUUUACAAAUCAGAUCCCGGUACCUCCAAUAAUGAAUAUGUGAAUUCAAAACUGAUGUUUUCAUGGCUCCAUAUGUGCACUCGGACUACUGUCAACUAAUUGUUCUUUCAUUGAAGAAUAAUAUAGUCCUUUUCUUAUGCUCCUUCCAUUACAAACCAAACAAGGACAAAAGAAGGCAAUGGACUCGUAAGUGUACUUGUACAAAAACUAUCAAUUUUUAUGGAUGUAUUAACUACAAAUCUCGUGAUGUUCAUCAUUGGGCAAUGAAAACAUAUCAAGCAAUGGGCCUGAAAAAGCACGCACAUGAACUAAAGGGUUUUAUGUGGAUUAAGCCAAAGAGUUGUAAGCAAUCACAGAAGACUAGUUUGUGUGGCGUAUAUGUGAUGAGGCACAUGCUCAACAUCAUCACAUUGGGAAUGACUAAAUUUUCAAAUGAGA